This 1389-nucleotide ribosomal RNA is filed under the name Triticum aestivum (bread wheat). RNAcentral describes it as "partial small subunit ribosomal RNA". The record is from RNAcentral. Lineage: Eukaryota; Viridiplantae; Streptophyta; Magnoliopsida; Poales; Poaceae.
AUGGCUAGUAAUUGGAGUUUCAGACAAUUUGGGGAGGUAAUUUGUAGCCAAUAUCCUUGGGGUUUGCUUGAUGAAGUGGUAUACAAAUACUAUGAUGGGGAAAAGAAUUGGGUGACAAUUAGUAAUGAUGAAGAGCUAGCUACCAUGUUUGUUAGGCAUAAAGAGAAAGAUAAUUUUCAUGUGAGGCUGCAAGUUGAUGUGCUUGAGCAGGCAUUUGGACCUAGGAUGGCGGGUGCAACAUCUCGGGGAGAACCAAGUCGUCGUAAUGGCAUAUCUAGCCAGAACAGUUCAGUUGGUGCACGGCGACGUGGUAGCUCGACAAGUGUGGGCAACAGUAGUAGGGUCCCCCUUGAAGUGGAGCCUGAUGGCUACAAUUCUGGGGUUGAUGAAGAGAAUCUAUAUUCUGAUGUUAUUCAUAAUUUACGACGGGCACCUCGGACUAAAAAUCAAGAUGAGGCUCACAAUGCAGUCCGUGUGGAUGAUGACGCGAUGGGUGAGGACGAAGACCUUGCAGCUGUUGAAUGGGACCCUUUGAACCCUCAUAUGGAAGAAGGUACAGUUUUCGCAUCCAUGAAUGAGUGUAGAAAUGCACUUGUGACAUACUGCAUCAAGGUAGAACGUACUUUCAAAGUUGACAAGAGUGAUCAUGUACGUUACAGAGUGCACUGUCCGACUGAAGGUUGUCCAUGGAGGCUGAUUGCAUCUAAAAUGCGGAAUAGCACUAAUGUUCAGGUCAAAGUGAACCCUUUUAGGCACACAUGCCCGGAAUCAACCCUUAGGAAGGAUACAAUCAGUAGAGCCAAGUCAAUAUGGGUGGCAGAAGAAGUAAAGAAGUGGGUGAAAGAAAACCAGCAAGUGGGUCCAAAGGAAUUGCAGAAGAACAUCAAAGAUAAGUUCAAGAUAGAUUUACCAUACAUGAGGUUGUUCAAUGUAGAUCCAGCGUUCAGAGAGAGUUUCAAUGAAGGCUUCGAUGAAAAUGUUGGUCAGCAGCCGGUUGCCUCAACAAAUGAUGAAAAUGAUGGUCAACAGCCGGUUGCAUCAGAUGAGGAUUUUGACGAGGUUCCAAAUGAUGAUGGUCAACAACCGCAUGAUUUUGACGAUGAUCCAAAAUAUCCUCCAAAUAAUGAUUCAAGUGAGGCUCCAAAUGGUGAUCCAAGUGAGGCUCUAAAUGGUGAUCAUGGUGAUCCAAGUGAGGCUCCAAAUGAUGAUCCAAGUGAGGCUCCAAAUGGUGACCAACCUUCUGUUGUUGUGAGUUCUGCUAGCUCUAUGGUAGGUUUGAAGAAGACGCGCAAGGUACCGACAACCAAGAGAAGAAGAGAAGAAACAAUGAGCACAAGGUGCACGAGGAGCAAAGUGAUGGCAAGAAGCUCAAGGAACAGACAGAAAUGA